RNAcentral lists this long non-coding RNA (1076 nucleotides) under Marmota monax (woodchuck). Lineage: Eukaryota; Metazoa; Chordata; Mammalia; Rodentia; Sciuridae. The record is from RNAcentral.
GAGGCGCGGCUUUGCCCCAUUCUGCAGAUGGGGACCCUGGGCCCAGAGGGCUGUGCGCAUGAGCUGAGCUCGCGGCAGGACGAGGGGACAGGAAAGGCCAGUCCCCAUCCAGGCUCAGCCUCUCCGCUCGUCCCCAGCAGGGGAGCUGGGGGGGGACAGCCAGUUUCCACGUCACCUUCUCUUGGACCGCAGCCCUUUUCUGCCCCUUCCUGGCUGUGUGACAUUGGGCAGUGUGUCCACCUCUCUGGGCCUCUCUGUCCCCAUCAAAGGGUGGUUCCAGGGGUAAAAGCUGAGCGGUGCUGUGAUUUGUCGUCUGUCGCAGAGGACGGCCCUCUAGUGCUGAGAGCCCGAGGGCUUGGGUUGUGGGGCUGGGGACAGAAGGGCUCGGAGGGCCACAGAGCUGGAAAGUGGUGGCGUCCACCUUGCAAAUCGCAAGCCCACGCUGCCCUGGAUGACCCGGAUCCGAAAAAGGCCCCUAGUUUUCCGAAACUGCUUGGACCCCGAGGAGGGCCUGCUGGCGGGGCUAAUUCCCCAGGACUGCACUGCGCGGCUCAGUGGGUGACAGAGAUCAGGAUAUAAUUCGUCCCUGAGACAGGGUGGCAGAAGUUCCAGGGCGAGAUUCCCAUGUGGGUAUGGCGGGUGCGUCCCCAGGCCUCUUUGUUGAGACUUAGCACAGACCAGGCUCCGGAGGACAGUGGGGACAUCUUUGGGCAUCAGCUGAGGGCCCAGCAGUGUGCUGGGGGGACGGCGCACUGACGGAGCCACUCAGAACCCAGCCUGGAAGGUCGUACCGAGUGCAGAGGCCCAGAGAGGUGGGGACACUUGCCCAAGGGUAAACAGCUGAAGAGUGGAGUCAGGAUCGGGACGGAGCCCACUCUGAACCUCUGUUCCUUCCCCUGGGAAGCCGAGAGAGAAACCAUGUCCAGUCCCCGGAUGAUCUGAGGAGGUUCCCGGAGGGAGUGGGGGGCACUCGUCCCAGGAGGUGACCUGUGUCCUGAGUCCCGGGUCUUCCUGGCCGUGUGUGGGGCUGGGCGUUGGUGAGGAAGGGGGACCCCAGCUCUGGGGCUGGAGGGGUG